Molecule: non-coding RNA, 107 nt
Organism: Gossypium hirsutum (cotton)
Lineage: Eukaryota; Viridiplantae; Streptophyta; Magnoliopsida; Malvales; Malvaceae
Source: Rfam
AGACCAUGGUGAAGGCAUUUUUGUACCAGCUACUUUAAUCACUCCCAAGCUUCGUGAAAAUUUUUUCCUCCCAUCUGUUUAAAGGUUGCGAUCUCUCUUCUCAGUUG